UACGAAGGGGGCUAGCGUUGCUCGGAAUUACUGGGCGUAAAGGGCGCGUAGGCGGACAGUUUAGUCAGAGGUGAAAGCCCAGGGCUCAACCUUGGAACUGCUUUUGAUACUGACUGUCUUGAGUUCGGGAGAGGUGAGUGGAAUGCCGAGUGUAGAGGUGAAAUUCGUAGAUAUUCGGCGGAACACCAGUGGCGAAGGCGACUCACUGGCCCGAUACUGACGCUGAGGCGCGAAAGCGUGGGGAGCAAACAGG
This 253-nucleotide ribosomal RNA is filed under the name uncultured bacterium. RNAcentral describes it as "partial 16S ribosomal RNA". It matches the Rfam family "Bacterial small subunit ribosomal RNA", at positions 524 to 776 of the family's 1533-position model. The record is from RNAcentral.